GUUGUAUGGUUAAGUGACUAAGCGUACACGGUGGAUGCCUUGGCAGUCAGAGGCGAUGAAAGACGUAGUAACUUGCGAUAAGCCCAGAUUAGGUAGUAACAACCAUUUGAGUCUGGGAUUUCUGAAUGGGGAAACCCACGUGCAUAAGCACGUAUCCUUACCUGAAUACAUAGGGUAAGGAGGCGAACCGGGGGAACUGAAACAUCUAAGUACCCCGAGGAAAAGAAAUCAACCGAGAUUCCGAAAGUAGCGGCGAGCGAAAUUGGACUAGCCCUUAAGCUUUACACGCGUUAGACGAACGGUCUGGAAAGUCCGACGAUACAGGGUGAUAGUCCCGUAGUUGACGACGUGUGUUCAGUGAAAUCGAGUAGGGCGGGACACGUGAUAUCCUGUCUGAAUAUGGGGGGACCAUCCUCCAAGGCUAAAUACUACUGACUGACCGAUAGUGAACCAGUACCGUGAGGGAAAGGCGAAAAGAACCCCUGUGAGGGGAGUGAAAUAGAACCUGAAACCGUGUACGUACAAGCAGUAGGAGCAGGCUUUGUCCUGUGACUGCGUACCUUUUGUAUAAUGGGUCAGCGACUUAUAUUCAGUGGCAAGGUUAACCAUCUAGGGGAGCCGUAGGGAAACCGAGUCUUAACUGGGCGUUCAGUCUCUGGAUAUAGACCCGAAACCAGGUGAUCUAGCCAUGGGCAGGUUGAAGGUUGAGUAACAUCAACUGGAGGACCGAACCGACUAAUGUUGAAAAAUUAGCGGAUGACUUGUGGCUAGGGGUGAAAGGCCAAUCAAACCUGGAGAUAGCUGGUUCUCCCCGAAAGCUAUUUAGGUAGCGCCUCGGACGAAUACUACUGGGGGUAGAGCACUGUUAAGGCUAGGGGGUCAUCCCGACUUACCAACCCUUUGCAAACUCCGAAUACCAGUAAGUACUAUCCGGGAGACACACGGCGGGUGCUAACGUCCGUCGUGGAGAGGGAAACAACCCAGACCGCCAGCUAAGGUCCCAAAUUACUACUAAGUGGGAAACGAUGUGGGAAGGCUCAGACAGCCAGGAUGUUGGCUUAGAAGCAGCCAUCAUUUAAAGAAAGCGUAAUAGCUCACUGGUCGAGUCGGCCUGCGCGGAAGAUGUAACGGGGCUAAGUAGUAAACCGAAGCUGCGGCAAUAUACUUUUGUAUAUUGGGUAGGGGAGCGUUCUGUAAGCGGUUGAAGGUGUGUGGUAACGCAUGCUGGACGUAUCAGAAGUGCGAAUGCUGACAUGAGUAACGAUAAAGGGGGUGAAAAACCUCCUCGCCGGAAGACCAAGGGUUCCUGUCCAACGUUAAUCGGGGCAGGGUAAGUCGACCCCUAAGGCGAGGCCGAAAGGCGUAGUCGAUGGGAAACGGGUU
RNAcentral lists this ribosomal RNA (1383 nucleotides) under Vibrio parahaemolyticus. RNAcentral describes it as "bacterial LSU rRNA". It matches the Rfam family "Bacterial large subunit ribosomal RNA", at positions 1 to 1431 of the family's 2925-position model. The record is from RNAcentral. Lineage: Bacteria; Pseudomonadati; Pseudomonadota; Gammaproteobacteria; Vibrionales; Vibrionaceae.